CUGAACUCUGUAUGCUGGAUCCAACAGCUGCUUAUUCUGCUCUUUGCUUCUUUCAGAAAGCUUCUCUGUUACCUGUAUUUCGGUGCAGGUACUCAGAGUGAACAGAAACCCUUCUGCACAAUAUUUAGUUUGGACUUGUGCUUUUGAAACACAAGACACUUCUUAAAAGGCCCUUCUAAGUCUGAGUAAAUCCUGGUUAGUUUGUUGUGGGGGUUUGGUUUGACUCAACCACAUGAUCGGAGUCAGGUGAUGGAAUUGGGAAGAAAAACUAAAAAAGGGACAAACUAUUAGCUGUAGGAGCUUAGCAGCUGCUCUCCCUUAGUGAGGAGCCGUGACCCGCUUAGAAAAUGGGUUCCUGUCCCAGGUCUCUGCUUUGGAGUUUAGGUGCAGCUUGUUUGAUGGGUAUUGUUGUUGGACAAACGACUACUGCCCAGGUCUCUGCGGAAUCACCAGUGGUAUCUGCUGGUGUUUCAUCAGCUGCUCCAAAUGCAACCAUUGUCGGGGUCUCUACGGUAUCAACUACAGCUGUAACAGUAACAGCUGAAGUGCUGUCAACCACUGCAAACCCCACGGUGCCAUCUGCCACAACAGUAUCUGCUGAGGUUUCGUCCACCACCCGAACUGCAACAGUGUCCACUAUUCCAAAUAGGACCACUGUUCAGGUUUCUCCAGGACCAACAUCAGCUGUGACAGAGUCGGCUGGGGUAACAUCAGCUACCCCCCAUGGCACAGUACCUACCAGCAUGCUGGCUACUGCUCCAAACGUGACACUGUCUGCUGGGGUUCCAUCAGCCACUCCAUUCGUAACCACCAUGGAGUCCACAAACUGCAGUGCAGUGAACACAACAGCCUGUACAGCUUGUUCACCAGGAAUGUUUCCCAGCAAUGAGACAUGGGGUUGCGUAUGCUGCUCAGAGGGCUUCUGCGCAGACCCUAUUGCUUGCAUACCCUGUCCAGUGGGUCACUAUCAGCCUCUAGCUGGACAACUGUCGUGUCUGCUUUGCCCACAAGGAUAUUACACUAAUUUAAUGAAAAGUGUUGUAUGCCUGCCCUGUCAGCCUGGCUCUUAUUCCAAUGAGUCUGGGGCACCAGCUUGCAGACCAUGUGGAAAAGGGCAUUUCAGCUUCCAGAAAAAUUCAGCAUUCUGCAUGCCGUGUCCACGUGGAUCAUUUUGCAAUACUACCAACUGCAGCAAUUGUACAAUGUGCCCCACUGGAGAAGAGGCCCUUACAGAAGCCUCUGAAGAAUGUGCACCUUGUCUGCCAGGUACAUAUAAAGGCCCCAGGAACAGCAAAUGUGAAAUCUGCAAUAUAGGAGAAUACCAAGUACGAAGGGGCAAGGAGAGCUGUGACAAAUGCCCAGAAAAUUAUUACUGUCCUAGUCCAGAUGUGAACCCAAUUGCGUGUCCUUCUAAUGCCUUCUGCCCAGCUGGGAGCACUCAACCACAAUAUUGUAUGGAAACAUUUCUUUAUAAGGCAGGAAACUCUUGUGAACUGGCUCCUCUAACCAUUGUAUUACUAGCUGUUUCUUCAGCAGGUGGAGUCCUUCUUGUGUCUGUAAUAAUUCUGAAACAAAGGCAAGAAAAUGGCAGGAAAACUGUAAAAUCUCCAUUACUUUCAAAAGGAGCGAGGGCACACACAACUUAUGGUGUGACUGGGCGCACAGAACCGGUAUAUGCUGGCUGGUAGUUGGCUAGGAUUGUACAGAGUUGUAAAAAUCACAAGUCUUUUCUCAGUUUCUAUUCUCAUGUCUGGUGAUUUGAUAGAUGUGAAUUUAGGAAUGUAAGACAUCAUUAAUCCAUAGGGAUUUGUUUGUGUAGCCAAAACAUUUAAUUGUACCCGUGAGUGAACAAAAAUGAAACUUAAAAAGUGAUUUGAUUUGUGCAGGUCUGGCUUAAUUCAAGAAUAAGAAGGUGCAUCCUUACACAUUAUCACUCCCACCUCCAAGGGACAAAAUUGUGUGUCAUGGCAAUCCUCUCAAUUUCAACAACAGACAAUACCGUGAGUAUACGGUAGCAUCACAUAACAUAGCCUCGUUACAGUAUGCUAGCUAUUCCUACCAUGGCAGGACUUAACACAAAACUAAUUCCUCUUAAGAACAUACAGAAUCUCUUCUUCCACUCCCAAAACAUAACUGUUUCCCCUAAGCAGGAGUGGGGCAGAGAAAGCUGCAUGCAGGGGCGGCUCUAUGCAUUUUGCCACCCCAAGCACAGCAGUCAGGCGGCUUUUGGCGGCACGCCUGCAGGAGGUCCGCCAGUAACAUGGAUUUGGUGGCAUGUCUCCAGGAGGUCUGCUGAUAACACGGAUUCGGUGGCAUGCCUGCGGGAGGUCCGCCGGUUCCGCGCCUUCAGUGUACCCACCGCCGAAUUGCCGCUGAAACCGGGGGACUGGCAGACUUCCUGCAGGCACGCUGCCGAAAGUUGCCUGCCGCCGCCCUCUCAGCGACCAGCAGGCUGCUCCCUGCAGCUUGCCGCCCCAGCAGUGCCUGGGGCGCUGGUGCCUGGCACCGCCCCUGGCUGCAUGAUUCCAGAUUCACCCUUCUCCCACAACUGUGAGAGGGUAUCUGUAGGGAAAGUGGUGGGCAAUUAUGGAAAAAUCUCUCUCCAGUGUUUGCUCUAGUCCCCAAUGGAACUGGCUGCGGAAGUUGCUCACUAUUAUAGGGCUGCUGCAUCAGACAAGCAGCCCAACA
Molecule: long non-coding RNA, 2688 nt
Organism: Gopherus agassizii (Agassiz's desert tortoise)
Lineage: Eukaryota; Metazoa; Chordata; Testudines; Testudinidae
Source: Ensembl